RNAcentral lists this ribosomal RNA (997 nucleotides) under Eurytrema pancreaticum. RNAcentral describes it as "16S ribosomal RNA". The stretch from base 665 to 954 matches the Rfam family "Archaeal large subunit ribosomal RNA", at positions 2151 to 2715 of the family's 2987-position model. Lineage: Eukaryota; Metazoa; Platyhelminthes; Trematoda; Plagiorchiida; Dicrocoeliidae. The record is from RNAcentral.
UCUAGGCUUAGAGGCUUUUUAGAUUUGUGUUUCAUUUGGUUUGGUACCUUUUGCAUCAUGAUUCACGGGGUGAGUUUAAGUAUCUUUAUGUAUCCGAAGGAUAGUGAUUUACUUUCUCUCUGUUUGGAACUUAGGGUUGAUUGGGUUAAUCUUUUGAGAAGAGUUAGUGGAAUGUGAUAAUCAAGUCGUACUAUUUUAUAACUGAUUGGUGCCUCGUUUAUUUCUUAGUUACUUGAUUUGCUUUAAUGUAAUUUAGGGUUUUAGAGAUUUUGUUUAUGUGUUUGUUUUUGGGGGUUUGAGGUACCCUUGUUUGAAUUUGGUGUAAAUACCAUUGUGUUUUUUAUGCUAUCUUAGAUUUAGUUGGUGCCUUUAUUUUAAUCAAUUAUUAGGAUAUCGUGGAAUUAGUAGUUGUGUAUUGUUAUACUUUUUUCUCGUUCUCCUCCCGUCUGUUUAUUAAAAACAUUUCUAUUAGUUGUGUAUUGAUAGUAGUGCCUGCCCAAUGGUCCGAGUGUACUUAAUGGAUGCAGUAUUUUUAACUGUAAGAAAGUAGCAUAAUAAGUUGCCUUUUAAUUGGGGGAUUGUUUGAAUGGUUUGACGAGGGGGUAGAUUGAAAUGUGUGGCGUAGGUCGAAAUUGGAUUACUUGUGCAGAUCCAAGUUGUUGUUAGUAAGACGGAAAGACCCCGGGAGCUUUAUAUUAAUUAUUUGCUUGGGGUGAGAGCAUGUUUUUCACGUGUUUUUGGAUCCUGUUGAUUUUGUGGGGAUAAAGGAUAGAGUUACCCCGGGGAUAACUAAGUAAUGAUAAUGCGAGCCCUUAUCAAAUUAUUAAGUUGCUAUCUCGAUGUUGGCUUAGAGUGAAGAUGGCGGUGCAGUAGUUGCUGUCUGUGGUCUGUUCGACCUUAUUUCUUUAUGAGCUGAGUUAAGACCGGUGUGAGCCAGGUCGGUUCUUAUCUACUUGGGUUGCGGGUUAGUACGAAAGGAUUGCCUGUGGUUUAUGUU